This 253-nucleotide ribosomal RNA is filed under the name uncultured bacterium. RNAcentral describes it as "partial 16S ribosomal RNA". It matches the Rfam family "Bacterial small subunit ribosomal RNA", at positions 524 to 776 of the family's 1533-position model. The record is from RNAcentral.
UACAGAGGUCUCAAGCGUUGUUCGGAUUCAUUGGGCGUAAAGGGCGCGUAGGCGGCGUGGUAAGUCGGGUGUGAAAUCUCAGAGCUCAACUCUGAAACUGCACUCGAUACUGCUUUGCUAGAGGACUGGAGAGGAGAUUGGAAUUCACGGUGUAGCAGUGAAAUGCGUAGAGAUCGUGAGGAAGACCAGUGGCGAAGGCGGAUCUCUGGACAGUUCCUGACGCUGAGGCGCGAAGGCCAGGGGAGCAAACGGG